CUACCUGCAGUCGACGGCAGCACAGAGGAGCUUGCUCCUUGGGUGGCGAGUGGCGGACGGGUGAGGAAUGCAUCGGAAUCUGCCUAUUUGUGGGGGAUAACGUAGGGAAACUUACGCUAAUACCGCAUACGUCCUACGGGAGAAAGUGGGGGACCUUCGGGCCUCACGCAGAUAGAUGAGCCGAUGCCGGAUUAGCUAGUUGGCGGGGUAAAGGCCCACCAAGGCGACGAUCCGUAGCUGGUCUGAGAGGAUGAUCAGCCACACUGGAACUGAGACACGGUCCAGACUCCUACGGGAGGCAGCAGUGGGGAAUAUUGGACAAUGGGCGCAAGCCUGAUCCAGCCAUGCCGCGUGUGUGAAGAAGGCCUUCGGGUUGUAAAGCACUUUUGUCCGGAAAGAAAAGCGCUCGAUUAAUACUCGGGUGUUAUGACGGUACCGGAAGAAUAAGCACCGGCUAACUUCGUGCCAGCAGCCGCGGUAAUACGAAGGGUGCAAGCGUUACUCGAAAUUACUGGGCGUAAAGCGUGCGUAGGUGGUUUGUUAAGUCUGAUGUGAAAGCCCUGGGCUCAACCUGGGAACUGCAUUGGAAACUGGCUUACUAGAGUGCGGUAGAGGGGUGUGGAAUUCCCGGUGUAGCAGUGAAAUGCGUAGAUAUCGGGAGGAACAUCUGUGGCGAAGGCGACACCCUGGACCAGCACUGACACUGAGGCACGAAAGCGUGGGGAGCAAACAGGAUUAGAUACCCUGGUAGUCCACGCCCUAAACGAUGCGAACUGGAUGUUGGGGGCAACUUGGCCCUCAGUAUCGAAGCUAACGCGUUAAGUUCGCCGCCUGGGAAGUACGGUCGCAAA
RNAcentral lists this ribosomal RNA (851 nucleotides) under uncultured bacterium. Its description in RNAcentral is "bacterial SSU rRNA". It matches the Rfam family "Bacterial small subunit ribosomal RNA", at positions 51 to 892 of the family's 1533-position model. The record is from RNAcentral.